CGGACGGGUGAGGAACACGUACGCGACCUGCCCUCCGGUGGGGAAUAACCCUUCGAAAGAGGGGCUAAUGCCGCAUACGGUCCUCUGGGUAGAGCCAGAGGAGGAAAGCCCGCAAGGGUGCUGGAGGAGGGGCGUGCGGCCGAUUAGCUGGUUGGUGGGGUAACGGCCUACCAAGGCUGCGAUCAGUAACUGGUGUGAGAGCACGACCAGUCACACGGGCACUGAGACACGGGCCCG
This 237-nucleotide ribosomal RNA is filed under the name uncultured bacterium. RNAcentral's name for it is "partial 16S ribosomal RNA". It matches the Rfam family "Bacterial small subunit ribosomal RNA", at positions 99 to 334 of the family's 1533-position model. The record is from RNAcentral.